This 192-nucleotide ribosomal RNA is filed under the name uncultured bacterium. RNAcentral's name for it is "partial 16S ribosomal RNA". It matches the Rfam family "Bacterial small subunit ribosomal RNA", at positions 1309 to 1500 of the family's 1533-position model. The record is from RNAcentral.
AACUCGCCUACAUGAAGUCGGAAUUGCUAGUAAUCGCGGAUCAGCAUGCCGCGGUGAAUACGUUCCCGGGCCUUGUACACACCGCCCGUCACACCAUGGGAGUCGGUAACACCCGAAGCCUGUAGUCUAACCGCAAGGAGGACGCAGUCGAAGGUGGGAUUGAUGACUGGGGUGAAGUCGUAACAAGGUAUC